RNAcentral lists this small RNA (209 nucleotides) under Arabidopsis thaliana (thale cress). RNAcentral's name for it is "ATSL212300". The record is from RNAcentral. Lineage: Eukaryota; Viridiplantae; Streptophyta; Magnoliopsida; Brassicales; Brassicaceae.
AAAAUAAAUAUAUAGAUUGCUAUACAAUAUUCAAAUACUAUCAUAAAAAUUUAUUUUUGUAUCUUACACCCGCCUAAAUAGGCGGGCCUUAUCUAGUACAAAAUAAAGCUUAGAAGUCAGAAAUUCAUCAGAUGGAAAAAAAAAAAGUCCGAAAUUCAUCCAUCAAUGACACUCCUAACUUCCUAUGUGACCUUUUUAAGUUUUAGCAU